This is a long non-coding RNA of Phyllostomus discolor (pale spear-nosed bat), 169 nucleotides long. RefSeq lists it as uncharacterized. The transcript has 3 exons. Lineage: Eukaryota; Metazoa; Chordata; Mammalia; Chiroptera; Phyllostomidae. The record is from RefSeq and is a predicted model, not a curated record.
UUGUGACCAUACUCAGUCAUUUCUGUGAGCAUCCUGAUUACCAGUGUUUGGAAUUCUGCAUCUGAUAGGUUGACUAUCUCUUGAUUGCUUAGUUGUAUUUUUUCUGGGCUUGUGAUCUGUUUUCAAUAUGGGCCAUAUUUUUGUGUCUCACUGUUACAUAGAAAGGGGC